RNAcentral lists this ribosomal RNA (643 nucleotides) under uncultured bacterium. RNAcentral's name for it is "bacterial SSU rRNA". It matches the Rfam family "Bacterial small subunit ribosomal RNA", at positions 232 to 885 of the family's 1533-position model. The record is from RNAcentral.
CGCGGCCUAUCAGCUUGUUGGUGAGGUAAUGGCUCACCAAGGCUUCGACGGGUAGCCGGCCUGAGAGGGCGACCGGCCACACUGGGACUGAGAUACGGCCCAGACUCCUACGGGAGGCAGCAGUGGGGAAUAUUGCACAAUGGGCGCAAGCCUGAUGCAGCAACGCCGCGUGCGGGAUGACGGCCUUCGGGUUGUAAACCGCUUUCAGUAGGGACGAAGCUAACGUGACGGUACCUACAGAAGAAGGACCGGCUAACUACGUGCCAGCAGCCGCGGUGAUACGUAGGGUCCGAGCGUUGUCCGGAAUUAUUGGGCGUAAAGGGCUUGUAGGCGGUCCGUCGCGUCAGGAGUGAAAACUCGGGGCUUAACCCCGAGCCUGCUUUUGAUACGGGCGGACUAGAGGGAUGCAGGGGAGAACGGAAUUCCUGGUGGAGCGGUGGAAUGCGCAGAUAUCAGGAGGAACACCGGUGGCGAAGGCGGUUCUCUGGGCAUCACCUGACGCUGAGAAGCGAAAGCGUGGGGAGCAAACAGGCUUAGAUACCCUGGUAGUCCACGCCGUAAACGGUGGGCACUAGGUGUGGGGGACAUUCCACGUUCUCCGUGCCGAAGCUAACGCAUUAAGCGCCCCGCCUGGGGAGUACGG